This 713-nucleotide ribosomal RNA is filed under the name Enterococcus faecalis. RNAcentral's name for it is "bacterial SSU rRNA". It matches the Rfam family "Bacterial small subunit ribosomal RNA", at positions 1 to 742 of the family's 1533-position model. The record is from RNAcentral. Lineage: Bacteria; Bacillati; Bacillota; Bacilli; Lactobacillales; Enterococcaceae.
UUAUUUGAGAGUUUGAUCCUGGCUCAGGAUGAACGCUGGCGGCGUGCCUAACACAUGCAAGUUGAGCGAUUUACUUCGGUAAAGAGCGGCGGACGGGUGAGUAACGCGUGGGUAACCUACCCUGUACACACGGAUAACAUACCGAAAGGUAUGCUAAUACGGGAUAAUAUAUUUGAGAGGCAUCUCUUAAAUAUCAAAGGUGAGCCAGUACAGGAUGGACCCGCGUCUGAUUAGCUAGUUGGUAAGGUAACGGCUUACCAAGGCGACGAUCAGUAGCCGACCUGAGAGGGUGAUCGGCCACAUUGGAACUGAGACACGGUCCAAACUCCUACGGGAGGCAGCAGUGGGGAAUAUUGCACAAUGGGCGAAAGCCUGAUGCAGCAACGCCGCGUGAGUGAUGAAGGCCUUCGGGUCGUAAAACUCUGUCCUCAAGGAAGAUAAUGACGGUACUUGAGGAGGAAGCCCCGGCUAACUACGUGCCAGCAGCCGCGGUAAUACGUAGGGGGCUAGCGUUAUCCGGAUUUACUGGGCGUAAAGGGUGCGUAGGCGGUCUUUCAAGUCAGGAGUGAAAGGCUACGGCUCAACCGUAGUAAGCUCUUGAAACUGGGAGACUUGAGUGCAGGAGAGGAGAGUGGAAUUCCUAGUGUAGCGGUGAAAUGCGUAGAUAUUAGGAGGAACACCAGUUGCGAAGGCGGCUCUCUGGACUGUAACUG